CAGCCGCCGCGGUAAUACAGAGGGUGCGAGCGUUAAUCGGAUUUACUGGGCGUAAAGCGUGCGUAGGCGGCUUCUUAAGUCGGAUGUGAAAUCCCUGAGCUUAACUUAGGAAUUGCAUUCGAUACUGGGAAGCUAGAGUAUGGGAGAGGAUGGUAGAAUUCCAGGUGUAGCGGUGAAAUGCGUAGAGAUCUGGAGGAAUACCGAUGGCGAAGGCAGCCAUCUGGCCUAAUACUGACGCUGAGGUACGAAAGCAUGGGGAGCAAACAGGAUUAGAUACCCGAGUAGUCCCUGUCUCUUAUAC
This 301-nucleotide ribosomal RNA is filed under the name uncultured bacterium. RNAcentral describes it as "partial 16S ribosomal RNA". It matches the Rfam family "Bacterial small subunit ribosomal RNA", at positions 509 to 807 of the family's 1533-position model. The record is from RNAcentral.